This 1155-nucleotide small RNA is filed under the name Pongo abelii (Sumatran orangutan). RNAcentral describes it as "processed transcript". Lineage: Eukaryota; Metazoa; Chordata; Mammalia; Primates; Hominidae. The record is from RNAcentral.
GCUGGCUGCAUGAUGUCACACCCCAGCCAGGGCCAGGCUGGCUGCAUGAUGGCCCUGGGCUGGGGGGUGACUACCUGCAGCCGCUCUGACAGCCUGCUCGGCCCACAGCUCUUCGGGGACGUCUGCUACAACUGCAGCCAUGUGAUUGAAGGCGAUGGAACAAGUUUGUGGAGUUCGACAUGAAGCCCGUGUGUAAGAGGUGCUACGAGAAGUUCCCGCUGGAGCUGAAGAAGCGGCUGAAGAAGCUGUCAGAGCUGACCUCCCGCAAGGCCCAGCCCAAGGCCGCGGACCUCAACUCUGCCUGAAGGCCCUCUUGCGCAGCCGCCUCUCGGCCCCUCCGCCUUCUCCCCUCCCGCUGUCCAUGCUUGGCCCCCUCGUCCCCGUCCACCUGCGCCCUCUGCAUCUUACGCUCCCCUUCUCUUUCUUCAUUGCCUCCCCCUUUCCUGUUCCCUCAUCUCUGCCUUCCCCCUGUCUCUCCUCUCCUCGGCUGUGGUUUCUGUCUGUGAGGAGGCAGGAGCUGGGGAGUGGGAGCCUAUGACCCCACGUCUGACAGCCACGUCCACCUGUGCCCACAGUUUCUGCCAACAGACCUCCAGGGACAGAAGCAAAUUGCACCACAGCUCCCUGCCUGGCCUGGCCCUCCCCAGGCAGCUCAGUGGCUCAUGCUGUCCUGUGAGAGCCCCUGCCCCAGAGCGGCCCCACUAAGCGCAUGUGGCUCCUGGACUACCUACAGCCAGGGCAGCCUGCUGGAGCCACAGGGCCAGGACCAUGCAGAUGGAGGCCUCUGGGAGCCACCUCCAGUCCCUCACCACUCACUCAACCAGGGGCACAGUGUCCCUGUUCCCACACUGAGCCAGCAAGUCCUGCUGUCCACACCCACAAGCUACCUGGAGGGACAGGACCCACCUCCAUCCCUCGGAAGGUCUUCCUGGAACCCCACCUUGGCCUCCCACCUGGGUUCCGCCCCGCCCCCUCCCCCCGACCUUGGGGCUUGUGUUGAGCCCUUGGGUGGGGCCAGGGGCCAGGAGGUGGUGAGGUCAGAGGAGGUGGGGUCAGAGGUGGCUUUUUCCCACCUCCAGGGAGGACGCUUCCUCUGCGGCCAGCGCAGACCUGGUGUUGGGCUCACGCUUGCACAAUGAAGGCUUCUUCACACAA